AGUGAACGCUGGCGGUAGGCCUAACACAUGCCAGUCGAACGGCAGCACGGUAAGAGCUUGCUCUUACGGGUGGCGAGUGGCGGACGGGUGAGGAAUACAUCGGAAUCUACUUUUUCGUGGGGGAUAACGUAGGGAAACUUACGCUAAUACCGCAUACGACCUACGGGUGAAAGCAGGGGAUCUUCGGACCUUGCGCGAUUGAAUGAGCCGAUGUCGGAUUAGCUAGUUGGCGGGGUAAAGGCCCACCAAGGUGACGAUCCGUAGCUGGUCUGAGAGGAUGAUCAGCCACACUGGAACUGAGACACGGUCCAGACUCCUACGGGAGGCAGCAGUGGGGAAUAUUGGACAAUGGGCGCAAGCCUGAUCCAGCCAUACCGCGUGGGUGAAGAAGGCCUUCGGGUUGUAAAGCCCUUUUGUUGGGAAAGAAAAGCAGCAGGUUAAUACCCCGCUGCUCUGACGGUACCCAAAGAAUAAGCACCGGCUAACUUCGUG
This 492-nucleotide ribosomal RNA is filed under the name uncultured bacterium. Its description in RNAcentral is "partial 16S ribosomal RNA". It matches the Rfam family "Bacterial small subunit ribosomal RNA", at positions 29 to 507 of the family's 1533-position model. The record is from RNAcentral.